AAUAAAGAUGGCGAUGGAGCUCGCCAAAACCGCCUUUGAUUAUUGAAUUAAUUCAUAAAAUCUAAAAGGCUGAUGGCUCCUACUAUUCC
Molecule: non-coding RNA, 89 nt
Filed under: Phormidium ambiguum
Lineage: Bacteria; Bacillati; Cyanobacteriota; Cyanophyceae; Oscillatoriales; Oscillatoriaceae
Also listed under: 1 other name
Description: Fluoride sequence
Rfam family: Fluoride riboswitch aptamer (crcB RNA motif)
Source: RNAcentral